AUUGAACGCUGGCGGCAUGCCUUACACAUGCAAGUCGAACGGUAACAGGUCUUCGGAUGCUGACGAGUGGCGAACGGGUGAGUAAUACAUCGGAACGUGCCUAGUAGUGGGGGAUAACUACUCGAAAGAGUGGCUAAUACCGCAUGAGAUCUACGGAUGAAAGCAGGGGAUCGCAAGACCUUGUGCUACUAGAGCGGCCGAUGGCAGAUUAGGUAGUCGGUGGGAUAAAAGCUUACCAAGCCGACGAUCUGUGGCUGGUCUGAGAGGACGAUCAGCCACACUGGGACUGAGACACGGCCCAGACUCCUACGGGAGGCAGAAGUGGGGAAUUUUGGACAAUGGGCGCAAGCCUGAUCCAGCAAUGCCGCGUGCAGGAUGAAGGCCUUCGGGUUGUAAACUGCUUUUGUACGGAACGAAAAGCCCUGGGUUAAUACCCUGGGGUCAUGACGGUACCGUAAGAAUAAGCACCGGCUAACUACGUGCCAGCAGCCGCGGUAA
This 498-nucleotide ribosomal RNA is filed under the name uncultured bacterium. RNAcentral's name for it is "partial 16S ribosomal RNA". It matches the Rfam family "Bacterial small subunit ribosomal RNA", at positions 30 to 523 of the family's 1533-position model. The record is from RNAcentral.